Molecule: long non-coding RNA, 478 nt
Filed under: Mytilus galloprovincialis (Mediterranean mussel)
Lineage: Eukaryota; Metazoa; Mollusca; Bivalvia; Mytilida; Mytilidae
Source: RNAcentral
UCAGUUUUAAUAAAGUAAAAAAUUGGAACUGUAGAGUGAAUACAAAGUUUAAAGAACUUGAUCUUAAUCAGUAUUGUAAUAUUGAAUGUAUUUUGAGCAAGUCUGUUAUUAAAGAUAUUGAAAACAAUCUAUUUAUUAUGUACCAAAAUAAUUGGCAUUUAAAUUUACUAGCUAAUGAAAGCAGUAAAUUGCGUACUUACAGGUUAUUUAAAUCAAAUUAUUGUACAGAAAAAUAUUUGAGUAUUACUAUGCCCGGUAAAUUUAGAAGUGCAUAUGCUAAAUUUAGAGCAGGUGUUGCUCCGAUUAAAAUUGAAACUGGCAGAUAUGAAGGUAUAGAUGUAAAUGAAAGGUUCUGUUUUAAUUGUAGAAAAAAUGAUUUGAAUAUAAUUGAAGAUGAAAAACAUGUUUUAUUAGAAUGCCCAGAAUAUGCAGAUCUGCGAACGAUAUUUUUUAACAGUGUAUGUAAUAUAGAAAGUAG